UAGCUCAGUGGUAGAGCGCAUGCCUUGCAUGCAUGAGGCCCUGGGUUCGAUUCCUCAG
RNAcentral lists this transfer RNA (58 nucleotides) under Dipodomys ordii (Ord's kangaroo rat). It matches the Rfam family "tRNA", at positions 8 to 63 of the family's 71-position model. Rfam says of the family: Transfer RNA (tRNA) molecules are approximately 80 nucleotides in length. Their secondary structure includes four short double-helical elements and three loops (D, anti-codon, and T loops). Lineage: Eukaryota; Metazoa; Chordata; Mammalia; Rodentia; Heteromyidae. The record is from Rfam by way of RNAcentral.